Molecule: ribosomal RNA, 475 nt
Filed under: uncultured Chlorobiota bacterium
Lineage: Bacteria; Pseudomonadati; Chlorobiota
Description: bacterial SSU rRNA
Rfam family: Bacterial small subunit ribosomal RNA
Source: RNAcentral
GACGAACGCUGGCGGCGUGCCUAACACAUGCAAGUCAAAGGAAAGUAGCUUCGGUUAUGAGUACUUGGCGCAAGGGUGAGUAAGGCAUAGGUAAUCUGCCCUUUGGACUGGCAUAACCUCGAGAAAUCGAGGACAAUACCAGAUGAUGCAGCGGAACCGCAUGGUUAUGUUGUUAAAUGAUUUAUCGCCAAGGGAUGAGCCUAUGUUCCAUCAGGUAGUUGGUAGGGUAAAGGCCUACCAAGCCAACGACGGAUAGCUGGUCUGAGAGGAUGAUCAGCCACAUUGGAACUGAGACACGGUCCAGACUCCUACGGGAGGCAGCAGUGAGGAAUAUUGCGCAAUGGGCGAAAGCCUGACGCAGCAACGCCGCGUGGAUGAUGAAGUUCUUCGGAAUGUAAAAUCCUUUUGUCAGGGACGAACAUGUCGGUAUACCGACACUGACGGUACCUGACGAAUAAGCCACGGCUAACUCUGU